RNAcentral lists this ribosomal RNA (301 nucleotides) under uncultured bacterium. Its description in RNAcentral is "partial 16S ribosomal RNA". It matches the Rfam family "Bacterial small subunit ribosomal RNA", at positions 509 to 807 of the family's 1533-position model. The record is from RNAcentral.
CAGUAGCCGCGGGAAUACGAAGGUCCCGAACGUUGUUCGGAAUCACUGGGCGUAAAGGGAGCGUAGGCGGCGUGGUAAGUCAGAUGUGAAAUCCCGGGGCUCAACCCCGGAACUGCAUCCGAUACUGCCGUGCUAGAGGAUUGGAGAGGUAGCUGGAAUUCUUGGUGUAACAGUGAAAUGCGUGGAGAUCAAGAGGAACACUCGUGGCGAAAGCGAGCUACUGGACAAUAUCUGACGCUGAGGCUCGAAGGCCAGGGUAGCGAAAGGGAUUAGAUACCCCUGUAGUCCCUGUCUCUUAUAC